CGGAGGAUGCAAGCGUUAUCCGGAUUCAUUGGGUUUAAAGGGUGCGUAGGCGGGCUAUUAAGUCAGUGGUGAAAUCCUGCAGCUUAACUGCAGAACUGCCGUUGAUACUGAUAGUCUUGAGUUUGGUUAAGGUAGGCGGAAUGUGUAAUGUAGCGGUGAAAUGCUUAGAUAUUACACAGAACACCAAUUGCGUAGGCAGCUUACUAAGCCGACACUGACGCUGAGGCACGAAAGCGUGGGGAUCAAACAGGAUUA
This 255-nucleotide ribosomal RNA is filed under the name uncultured prokaryote. RNAcentral describes it as "partial 16S ribosomal RNA". It matches the Rfam family "Bacterial small subunit ribosomal RNA", at positions 526 to 780 of the family's 1533-position model. The record is from RNAcentral.